UACGAAGGGGGCUAGCGUUGCUCGGAAUCACUGGGCGUAAAGCGCACGUAGGCGGCUUUUUAAGUCAGGGGUGAAAUCCUGGAGCUCAACUCCAGAACUGCCUUUGAUACUGGGAAGCUUGAGUCCGGAAGAGGUGAGUGGAACUCCGAGUGUAGAGGUGAAAUUCGUAGAUAUUCGGAAGAAUACCAGUGGCGAAGGCGGCUCACUGGCCCGGUACUGACGCUGAGGUGCGAAAGCGUGGGGAGCAAACAGG
RNAcentral lists this ribosomal RNA (253 nucleotides) under uncultured bacterium. RNAcentral's name for it is "partial 16S ribosomal RNA". It matches the Rfam family "Bacterial small subunit ribosomal RNA", at positions 524 to 776 of the family's 1533-position model. The record is from RNAcentral.